Molecule: ribosomal RNA, 446 nt
Filed under: uncultured bacterium
Lineage: Bacteria
Description: partial 16S ribosomal RNA
Rfam family: Bacterial small subunit ribosomal RNA
Source: RNAcentral
CCUACGGGAGGCAGCAGUCGAGAAUCAUUCACAAUGGGGGAAACCCUGAUGGUGCGACGCCGCGUGGGGGAAUGAAGGUCUUCGGAUUGUAAACCCCUGUCAUGUGGGAGCAAAUUAAAAAGAUAGUACCACAAGAGGAAGAGACGGCUAACUCUGUGCCAGCAGCCGCGGUAAUACAGAGGUCUCAAGUGUUGUUCGGAUUCACUGGGCGUAAAGCGUGCGUAGGCUGUUUCGUAAGUCGUGUGUGAAAGGCGCGGGCUCAACCCGCGGACGGCACAUGAUACUGCGAGACUAGAGUAAGGGAGGGGGAACCGGAAUUCUCGGUGUAGCAGUGAAAUGCGUAGAUAUCGAGAGGAACACUCGUGGCGAAGGCGGGUUCCUGGACAUUAACUGACGCUGAGGCACGAAGGCCAGGGGAGCGAAAGGGAUUAGAUACCCCAGUAGUC